UUCGGUUCACUAUAGACGUAGCAGAAGCUUUAUUGGAUAGAAUUAGAGAUCCGGUGAUUCUGGAAUAUCCGGAAAACUAUGAUAAUCACAAAGAUUUUAUUUAGUCUAAUAAUGACUAAGAUCAAUGUCUUCUUAAAUUCGUUGAAAAAACUUAUGUUUUAGUUGAAAACAAGGAAUAAAGAGAAAUCUUUUAAUUUUUAUUAAUCAAAUCAUAAACUGCAUACAAACUUAAUCCAAGACGGCUAUAUAUAAUAAAACCAUAAAACCCUAAAACAAUAAAGAUAACUAUCUAAAUUAAUAUAAUUAAUAAAAUAAACAAUAAGAUAUUUGAAAAUAUUUCAAAUAUUUAUCUGCAUCAUUCUCUCCAGAUUGGUGUUCGAAUCGAAUCUUGUUCUUCCGUAGAUGUUCUUUUUUUUUUUAUCUUCUUUGAUCGUUGAUUCCACCCUUGAUACUAUCUUUGAAUUAUUCAACUUAAUGAAUCUGUUUUAAAUGUAUUUUUCAAGAUCCACCGUGUAGACACACAGCUCUUUAAUUUUUAAUGUCUUGAUCAAUGAGUAGCCAAACGAUUCCCAAUCUUACAAUGCACGUGUAGUGCAGUUACUUUCUUCAGUUUUGAUUGCACUCAUGAAAUCUCUCACGUAUGCUUUUGUGGUCUUGAAUGCAUCCUUGCUGAAAACAAAAUCAGUGGGCUCGAGCAUCAUCAUGUCCUAACCAUAUCAAUCAUAGAUGGCAGGACUGCUAAUUUAUUUGUAAACAAUUACUUCGCUUUCCACGAACAAAUUCUCCAUGAUCC
Molecule: long non-coding RNA, 793 nt
Filed under: Brassica rapa (field mustard)
Lineage: Eukaryota; Viridiplantae; Streptophyta; Magnoliopsida; Brassicales; Brassicaceae
Description: long non-coding RNA (BRAP_LNC005815)
Source: RNAcentral